Molecule: long non-coding RNA, 1038 nt
Organism: Phacochoerus africanus (Common warthog)
Lineage: Eukaryota; Metazoa; Chordata; Mammalia; Artiodactyla; Suidae
Exons: 3
Source: RefSeq, a predicted model, not a curated record
GCCAGGGAUCAAACUCGAACCACAGCAGCAACCCAAGCCACUGCAGGGACAGCACUAGAUCCUUCACCCGUGGCACCACAAGAGAACUGCAGGGAUGUGAGUUUUUAAUCUUGCAGGUGGACAAAGCUGUCUCCGGGAUGCAGAGUCUCCCCUUGAUCUCAUUCUCCUUCCUCCUUUCUCCCCGAGCCAACCACGAACCCGUGGUCCCUGCCACCACCCUCCACACCGUCAGCAGGAGGACACCUGCCCUUGCAAAGCCAGAGAGCCCCUCCCACCAUCUGUGUGCAGCCGCCCCAGCCCUUGGGCUUCCUGCUCAGUGAGGAGGACUCUGGAACUGUGGUUUGUCGGAAACGCAGAGAAAAGCCCCGUGGGCCAUGCCCUGUGACUGAACAAAGAAUCAGAAACUCGUUGGUCUGGACCCGGGAUGGAGCCACAUGGACGGUCGCCUCCCUGCGACAGACACUGUCACGUACACACCUGUAGCCUGCAGGUGCUGCCGAAUUCUCAAAGCCGGUCCUGAAGUUAAUCUACUGAAAUUGGGAACUCAGAGAUCACCCCUUUGAAGGUUUCUCGGCAGAGCCGUGAACUGGUUGUCCUGUUCCCCCUGGAGCACUGGGCACAUCCACUCCCACAGAUCCUCAAAUGCCUCGGGCUCCCACAGACUCAUCGAGAAUGUCCCUCUGACAGCGGAAGCAGAACCUUCGCGGCAGCGCGGAUUUCCCUCUCUCGGGUGACUCGCGUAAUUAAGCACGUGUUGGGGCUCAGCAGCCCGGACUCCGUCUCUGUCGCACUCCAUCCUUCUUCACCCCUCCCCAGGCCCUGUUGUUGUUCCUCCGACGGAGUCCCCUCCACCUCUGAUGCCCCUUUCCCCCCGCCCCACGGCAUCGGCCCACCUCGGGUCCCCGCCCCACCAAGCAACUGUCUUGUCACUGUUACCAUGUCCAUCUUAUAACUGAGAGCAUGUGAGCACAGCCUGGAAAGGACUGAUGAUAAGGAGCCACUCGGGAAGGGUUCAAGGAGGACUGUGGUCUAGGGAAA